This 85-nucleotide transfer RNA is filed under the name Felis catus (domestic cat). It matches the Rfam family "tRNA". Rfam says of the family: Transfer RNA (tRNA) molecules are approximately 80 nucleotides in length. Their secondary structure includes four short double-helical elements and three loops (D, anti-codon, and T loops). The record is from Rfam by way of RNAcentral. Lineage: Eukaryota; Metazoa; Chordata; Mammalia; Carnivora; Felidae.
GCCUAGGUGGCUCAGUCGGUUGAGUGUCUGACUUCAGCUCAGGUCAUGAUCUCACAGUCUGUGGGUUCGAGCCCCAUGUCGGGCU